RNAcentral lists this ribosomal RNA (456 nucleotides) under Streptococcus sp. oral taxon 058. RNAcentral describes it as "bacterial SSU rRNA". It matches the Rfam family "Bacterial small subunit ribosomal RNA", at positions 28 to 469 of the family's 1533-position model. Lineage: Bacteria; Bacillati; Bacillota; Bacilli; Lactobacillales; Streptococcaceae. The record is from RNAcentral.
GACGAACGCUGGCGGCGUGCCUAAUACAUGCAAGUAGAACGCUGAAGGAGGAGCUUGCUUCUCUGGAUGAGUUGCGAACGGGUGAGUAACGCGUAGGUAACCUGCCUGGUAGCGGGGGAUAACUAUUGGAAACGAUAGCUAAUACCGCAUAAUAUUGAUUAUUGCAUGAUAGUCAAUUAAAAGGUGCAAUUGCACCACUACCAGAUGGACCUGCGUUGUAUUAGCUAGUUGGUGAGGUAACGGCUCACCAAGGCGACGAUACAUAGCCGACCUGAGAGGGUGAUCGGCCACACUGGGACUGAGACACGGCCCAGACUCCUACGGGAGGCAGCAGUAGGGAAUCUUCGCGCAAUGGACGGAAGUCUGACCGAGCAACGCCGCGUGAGUGAAGAAGGUUUUCGGAUCGUAAAGCUCUGUUGUAAGAGAAGAACGAGUGUGAGAGUGGAAAGUUCACAC